AGAACCGGCAGCCCAACCACCACAUAUGAUCCAUACCAUUUAAUACAUAUAAAUUGUGAUAGGAUUUCCUAAUCCACCUAACCCCUUUCUUACCUAAACCUUCUAACACCUGAGAGAUGUUUUCACUGCAUUUCAGCUUCCAAAUGACCUUUCUCCUCCUUUGGAUUAUCGACACUUUACCCAAAUCGACAACCAUGUUCCUUAAAUAAGCUUUCAAAUGUAAGCUCAUCUGUUUAUCAUUCCUUUGUCUAUUCAAAUCCAGUGGUAAGUGUAAGUGGAAUCUCUUUUUUGUUGAGGGUGCUCGUUCAAGAUUGUAGGUAUCCGUCACCAACUAUGUAACAAACAACUUCCAACUUUGCAUUUUAUUUCUCUUCUGAAUGAACUAUCUUUGCAGGUGAAACACAUGGUGGAGUGCAAGGAAAUCUUCACAGUUCUUCCUAAUGGUGCCAAAUUCCUCCAUCAGAUUACACAUGUCAGAUCUGACCCUAUCCCCUUUAUUUUUGCCAAGUCCUUUUUAAAGGUUGUAGAUUGAUAGGCUAUUUAUCAUUUUCAAUUUUUUGUUACCUAAAGGCAAAUGGAAAUAUGCAAAUAUUCUAUGUGAAGAAACUAUAUUUUUAGCCUUCGUAGUAUAACUCCCCGAGAGUAUACCCAGGGUGUCACAUGGUGCUUACAGUCCCGAGGGACUACAAGCUAACCCAUGAGCUGGUACCUACUGUGAGCACUAAAUAAUAUAAUAACAUAUGCGAAAGAACAACUAAUAAGCCAUAAGGUUUUAGCAACUAAAAUCAAUGCUGGAUCAUGACUUUGGAAACAACUGUCGAAAACUAAUAAAACAAUAAGAAAACUGAUUGACUGUCUAUACUAGUCUGAAAAAGCCUCUACUGACUGACUAUGGAGUAGAUAGGACAAAGCCCCAACUAGCUCCAUCUGAAUAGAAAAUACUGAGAUAUUAAAAUAACUAAGUUAAAUAGACCAUGUCCUCAAAAUAUGAAGACUCACCACUGCUACGACUGGAAAUCCAGAAUGUCUAUGUGCUAUCUGGAAACUGAGCAUCCGAACCUAUGAUAUGAUACAUCAUAGUGCAAAAAAUGUGCGUGUGAUCAGUACUUUGAAUGUACUAGUAUGCAAAAUAAGGUAGGCUGAUAUGUAUUGUUUUAUGUACAGGAGUAUUAACUCAC
This 1178-nucleotide long non-coding RNA is filed under the name Capsicum annuum. Its description in RNAcentral is "long non-coding RNA (CANN_LNC015964)". The record is from RNAcentral. Lineage: Eukaryota; Viridiplantae; Streptophyta; Magnoliopsida; Solanales; Solanaceae.